RNA transcript from Cyprinus carpio (common carp), 1951 nucleotides. It is a transcript of the gene named ectonucleotide pyrophosphatase/phosphodiesterase 7, tandem duplicate 2, with no coding region annotated. The record is from RefSeq and is a predicted model, not a curated record. The transcript is spliced from 9 exons. NCBI's taxonomy places the organism in Eukaryota, Metazoa, Chordata, Actinopteri, Cypriniformes, Cyprinidae.
GAGAAAUCCCUAUCUGUCAGAUGAAAAUCAAGGCUGUGUAAAACAGUAGUAGUGGAAUACCUGUCAUGUUACGGAUACUGAGCAUUUUGCUGCUUAUAUUCCCUGCGACUCUCUCUGCUCCAACCAGAGAUCUCUGCACCAAAGGCAAAAACAAACUACUGCUGACCAUCUUUGAUGGGUUCAGGUGGGACUACGACCGAGAUGUGGACACCCCAAACCUGGACAAAAUGGCUGAGGAAGGAGUCAAGGCAGCAUAUGUCACUCCACCUUACCUGACCAUCACUAGUCCUACACACUUCACCCUGUUAUCUGGAAGGUACAUUGAGAACCAUGGUGUGAUUCAUAACGUGUGGUUUAACACAACCACACGACAAAGGAAAGAGUACUACAUGACGCAGUUUGUGGAUGAAUAUUGGGAUAAUGGCAGUCUACCCAUUUGGAUCACUGCUCAAAGACAGGGUCUUAAAACUGGAUCUUUACACUUCCCUGGCACUGCAGCCUCUUACCAGAAAGAAACAAUUCAGGUGAGGGAGGUAGAACCAAGAGCCUAUGACUACACCAAUGAGACGGCAUGGAGGGAAAAUGUAGAUAAAGUCAUGAAGGAAUGGUUUAAAGAUCAAGACUUAGACUUUGUCACCUUGUAUUUUGGCGACCCAGAUGAAGCUGGCCACAAGCAUGGACCCGAUUCUUCUGAGCGCCGUGAGGCAGUAAAAAAAGUUGACCGAACUGUGGGCUACAUACGGGAAACUGCUGAGAAACAUGGACUCAGUGACCAUCUGAAUAUUAUCAUCACAGCUGACCAUGGAAUGACCACCGUUUUUAAAGGAGGGCAAGUAAAAGAAAUAGUUCUCACUGACAUUCCAGGGUUCUCUUACAAAGAUCUGCAGUUCCACCUCUUGGACUAUGGACCUUCUGCGAUGCUGUUGCCCAAAGAAGGGAUGCUUGACAAGGUUUAUCAAGCCUUGAAAGGAGGUCAUCCAAACCUUCACGUUUAUAAAAAAGAAGACAUGCCUGCUCGACUGCAUUACUCCAAACAUCCACGUAUUCUACCCAUCAUUCUCUUCGCAGACCCAGGAUAUGUCAUCAAUGGGUUUUACCCACUUCAGACUAAUAAAGGUGAGCACGGCUAUGACAAUGAGGUCAUGGACAUGAAACCUUUCUUUAGGGCAGUGGGACCAGACUUCCACAGUAAUUUGUUGGUUGGACCAUUUGAGAGCGUUAAUGUUUACCCUCUAAUGUGCCACUUACUGGGGAUAAAGCCAGAAAUCAAUGACGGGUCACUGGAUAACACCCGACACAUGCUGAUAUCCAACGGAGAGACAUGUGAUUCUGGAGAUGUUCGUGAGUCGAGUCUACAGAAUGUGUUCAUUGGUCUUGCUGCUGUUGCUGGAUUUUUAUUGCUUAUGUUUGUGGUUGUUACAUCCUACAACGGAUAUAAAAGACACAAAAUUAAUCCAAAAGUGAAAGACAUAGGAGAUGAGGAUGAGAUGAAAGCCGACUCCAAGCAAACAUCAUUCUAAGAGGGACAAUCACUUUUUUCUUAAAAGGAAGGUACAUUGAGAACCAUGGUGUGAUUCAAAACAAUUGGUUCAAUACAACCACACAAGAGAAGACACAAUACUACAAGACAGGAUGAAUACUGGGAUAAUGGCAGUCUACCAAUUUGGAUCACUGCUCAACGACAGGGUAAAAAAAAAUAGGAUCCUUACACUUCCCUGGUACUGCGGCCACUUACCAGAACGAAACAAUCCAAGUAAAGGAGGUGGAACCGAGGUUUUAUGUCCACACCGAUGAGACGGCAUGGAGAUUCAACUGGCCACAAGUAUGGGCCCGACUCUCCCAAGCAGCGCAAGGCUGUCAAGAAAGUGAACCGAGCUGUGGGCUAUAUAUGAGAAACAUGGACUCAGUGACCAUCUGAAUAUUUUCAUCACAGCUGACCAUGGAAAGAGCA